Molecule: RNA transcript, 2253 nt
Organism: Esox lucius (northern pike)
Lineage: Eukaryota; Metazoa; Chordata; Actinopteri; Esociformes; Esocidae
Gene name: H-2 class II histocompatibility antigen, E-S beta chain-like
Exons: 6
Source: RefSeq, marked provisional
UUAGCUAUUCCGCAAUAUUGUACAGUCAGUGAAUUUGUCACAAAAGCCUUUGUCUCGUAGCUGAAUUGUACACAUUUGCACCUGCUGGAAACAUAUGAUGCUGUGUAACAGGUGCAUAUGAGUGGUUGGAGUUUUAAAUUGAUGCCAGUGUCUGUUGAGAUUUUUAAAAAUCUGUUUCCUCAUUUCAAACAGACCUGUUUUCACUCUAAGAUGUAAACAUGUGUGUGCUAUAUUUUUUGUCCCUCCAUCUCCUCUUCUUUUGUGUGGUUCAUUCCUCAGAUGGAGUUUUUGCCGAACAUAACGCUAGAUGUCAUUUCAGAAAUGUAGAUGAAAUAGAAUAUACUGAAGAAAUUUAUUUCAACAAGGAGGUGUUGCUAUGGUACAACGGCUCCACGGGUAUCUGGAAAGGAGACACAAGCAGUAAAAAUAUUCUUGCUAGUUAUUUUAACAACGAUCCUAAUGACCAUUUCUCAAGAAGAGCCAUAAAGGAUGUUUUGUGUUUGGUAAAUGCUAAAGCACUUUAUGAGACCCUAAAGAAUAAUACAGUUAAGCCAAAUGUCAGACUGAAGUCAGUGGAGCACUCCAGUAAUAGACACUCAGCCAUGCUUGUGUGCAGCGCUUAUGAUUUCUAUCCUAAAACCAUCAUGAUAACAUGGUUGAGGAACGGACAGAAGGUGAACUCAGAUGUGACCUCCAUAGAGGAAAUGUCCAAUGGGGACUGGAGCUACCAGAUCCACUCAUACCUGGAGUACACACCCACAGCUGGAGAGAUAAUCACCUGUAUGGUGGAGCAUUACAGCCUCCCUGAGCCUCAGCUACAUGACUGGGACCCCUCGAUGCCCAAGUCUGAAAUGAAUAAAAUUGUGAUUGGAAUAUCUGGACUACUGUUGGGGUUGGUCUUUAUAGCAGCUGGACUGAUCUACAACAGGAAGAAUUCUACUGUGCUGAUUCCGGUGAGAACAAGUGAUGACAUGGGUCCCUCUAGUGGUUGAACGGUUUGUUUGGAUUUCAAAGCUCAACGAGAUAAUUGAUGUAGUAAUUUUCCCUUAACUUCUGAAAGCCUAACUUUCUGAUGAGUAAAAUAACUCAGCUGUUAAAGAAUAUCAAAGUGAGUUAAGAAUAUUUUUGUUAUUGACAAGUCUUCAGGAUCUUUUUUUUUUAUGAGCUUGGGAAUUUUUAUUUUGAAUUUGUGUUGAUUGAUAAAACUUUACUGCACGGAUUGUGAAAUGUAAAGAUACAUAAUUGUAUUUAUUUUCGUGUAAUAGCAGAUACUUAUAUAACAUAUUUAAAAUAAAACUAUGUUUUCCAGACUUCACAGAAUAAUGGAUAACACUGCAUAAGUAUACAUGAAUAAACAUGUAUUAAAGCCUUGUUUACGUUAGAUUACAACUUGUCAUUACAGCGUGUCCUAUUCACUGAAAUCAUUGGUCAGGACAAUUGACACACUGGUCCAAUCUCAAUGUCCACACUCACGGACUUUGAAGCGCAUUCUCGCUAAAUCUGUGAGGGUUUAUGGCUGUCCCACUGUCAAAUCGUCAAGAGCGCCCGGGCUCUUUCACAGACAUUUAUGCAUUUAUGCAGACUUUGCCGGAGGGAAUUGCCCACAGUUCAUAGCGUUGUGACGGGAUUACCGGGGAAAGGCCAGAUUCGAGAGAGAAAUCCCGGAAAGCCCGCUUUAUAAGAUAAGGUCUAGAGCCUGCAAGACGUAUAAAUCCGGCAGUCGGUCUAUUAAGUGCCUUGGCCGUGAAGAAAGUAAAAAACGUAAAACAAAAAGUCCCAAACCCACAAUAGUGUGCAGCUUAUUUCAGCAUCGUCAAGGUAACAUGAUUAAGUGGUUAAGUGCUGUCCCAUUACUAUUUAUAGCAUUUUGAGCCCUUGCAGCCUCUUGCACUCAAUCAUUUACCAGGUGACGUCUGUGAGGGUUCAGGGGGGACAUUGGGAUUGGGCCAAUGACAAGUACACAAACAAUGCUUCCACCCUGACUGAACACAAGAGCAGACAUAUAUAGGUUGGGGCUAAGGAGCAGGUGAAAACAAUGAAGACUAAUGCAGUAAAACCCUGCAUCAACCACUCCAUCCUCUGCACUCAAUUUGCACGUUCUGUUUGUUCUUUGCUAGACAUAGAAAUAUGUUAUUCCCCCGGUACUGCCAGUAGGAAAACAGUCAUCCUUUUUUUCCCCCAAACUAGUUUAGUACUGAUGAUUUCAUGAAACAACGGAAUGGCGGGCGGGUGCAGGUGACCCACACAUCACUA